Molecule: long non-coding RNA, 892 nt
Filed under: Salmo salar (Atlantic salmon)
Lineage: Eukaryota; Metazoa; Chordata; Actinopteri; Salmoniformes; Salmonidae
Description: lncRNA (ENSSSAG00000095546.1)
Source: RNAcentral
CUCCUUCCCCUGCUGAGAAAAGUCAAAGGAAGGUGAACUACGAAGUGAACGUUUUUCCCCAAAGUGAUAGUAUUUUCUUGGCUCAACAGACUUGCUAUGACGACUGGGCUAUAGGGAGUUUGGAAUAUAAUGUGACCAAGACAUCCCAUCAUAGAUCAGAGCUCGCAGGGACACGUCCUGUCAGAGCUCGCAGGAGCAGGGACACGUUCCGUCAGAGCUCGCAGGGACACGUCCCAUCAGAGCUCGCAGGAGCAGGGACACGUCCCGUCAGUCAUUAAGCAUCUCACAAGGGAGAUUCAGGUCCUGCUGAACAACUUGCAAUAGGAGAUGAAGUACAUGCAGGGGCAGCUCAAUACCAGGAUAUCAUCCCUGAGCAUCCCCACAACCCUCCCAACAGUCAGCGUCCCUGCGACCAAUGCAAUGCUCCAACACCAUCUCCAAUCCCCCCCAUGGUGGGACCAUCGUGGAAUGGUGGAGUGAAUACCACAUGUGGAGAUUUCUACUGCAAGAGAAAGGAUAUCCGGAGUAGAUGUGGUGGAUCGUUCCAUAAUGACCAUCACCGAGGCCAACCCUCAGAGCCAGACUGGCAGCCGGCCGGGGGCUGAGCCUGAGACCCCUGCUGUAGCGCUUCAGAACAGUGGAGGAUGGCUCAGCUGGAUCUUCAGGAGAGGAAAGGAGAUUCAUCUAUCUGAUGAGAAAGACAACUCUAACAAGCCUGUACCGCCUCCUCCCCCGAUGGGAAUGUAUCUGGGGAACUUUGGGUCUUCCCAAAGGGGUGAAUCCUUACUCAGGAAAGCAGUCUAACAGCAGGUCUAUGGGAAAAAUAUCCCAGGAUGCUCUACUCUGAUGGGACCACCUCAACACCACCAAGCCAGCUCCCUUGACAGUUCCC